UGCCACGGAUCUGAGCGAUGACUCAGGGA
This 29-nucleotide non-coding RNA is filed under the name Homo sapiens (human). The record is from RNAcentral. Lineage: Eukaryota; Metazoa; Chordata; Mammalia; Primates; Hominidae.